RNAcentral lists this long non-coding RNA (617 nucleotides) under Arabidopsis thaliana (thale cress). RNAcentral's name for it is "long non-coding RNA (ATHA_LNC000603)". Lineage: Eukaryota; Viridiplantae; Streptophyta; Magnoliopsida; Brassicales; Brassicaceae. The record is from RNAcentral.
UGGGUAAUAUGGAAGAGAGCUUGCCUUCAAAUUUCGCUGAUGGGAAUGAGCAACCUGACCCAAACACUUCUCCAGUGGAAGAUGUUUCGGCGGCUACAAAACAAAAGAAGAUGCAGUCAGAGUCCAAAAGGUGCAAGUCGCUCAACAACGUGGAUUUGGGGAACAUUGAAGAGAAUUUCGGGAACAUGGAAGAGAACCCACCUUCUGAUCUGGCUAUUGGGAAUGAGCAAACAUUGCCGAAGUUAGCUAGCAACUUGGACAUGGGGAACAUGGAAGAGAACACGCCUUCUGAUCUGGCCAAUGGGAAUGAGAAAACAGAGCCUAACUCAGCCAACAGCAUGGAUUUAGGGAACAUGGAAGAGAACACGCCUUCUGAUUUGGCAAAUGGGAAUAAGAAAAAAGAGCCUAAGUCAGUCAGCAAGUUGGAUCUGGGUAGCGAGAAAGUGAGCAUUCCUUCUAAUCUCGUCAAUGGAAAUGAGCAACAUGACCUAAACAUUGCUCCAGGUGAAGAUGCUUCAGCGGCUAAGCAACCAGAAAAGAAGCGAUCCAGGUCUAAAAAGCGCAAAUCAGGCAACAACCUGGAUUUGGGGAAGAUGGAAAAGAGCAAGCCUUCCGAU